RNAcentral lists this non-coding RNA (27 nucleotides) under Rattus norvegicus (Norway rat). Lineage: Eukaryota; Metazoa; Chordata; Mammalia; Rodentia; Muridae. The record is from RNAcentral.
UGGUAUCUUCACCCCUGGGGCCACAUU